This 710-nucleotide ribosomal RNA is filed under the name Phytophthora citrophthora. Its description in RNAcentral is "eukaryotic LSU rRNA". It matches the Rfam family "Eukaryotic large subunit ribosomal RNA", at positions 81 to 618 of the family's 3401-position model. Lineage: Eukaryota; Oomycota; Peronosporomycetes; Peronosporales; Peronosporaceae. The record is from RNAcentral.
UAGUACGGCGAGUGAAGCGGGAAGAGCUCAAGCUUUAAAUCUCCGUGCAAGUUUUGCGCGGCGAAAUGUAGUCUAUAGAGGCGUGGUCAGCGUGGGCGCUUGGGGCAAGUUCCUUGGAAGAGGACAGCAUGGAGGGUGAUACUCCCGUUCAUCCCUGAGUGGCUCGUGCGUACGACCCGUUUUCUUUGAGUCGCGUUGUUUGGGAAUGCAGCGCAAAGUAGGUGGUAAAUUCCAUCUAAAGCUAAAUAUUGGUGCGAGACCGAUAGCGAACAAGUACCGUGAGGGAAAGAUGAAAAGAACUUUGAAAAGAGAGUUAAAGAGUACCUGAAACUGCUGAAAGGGAACCGAAUCGUUUCCAGUGUCUAUAAUCUGUGGCAUAUUUCAUUGGCGAGCGUUUGCGUGCGUGUGCUGUGGCAGUGGCUUUUUUGGCUGCGCCUGGUGUGUGUGGUGCGAGUGUUUGCUGGUGCCCUGUGCUGCGGUGGGACGUCAAGGUCAGUUCGUAUGCUGCGGGAAAUGGCUGCCGAGGAGGUAGGGCUUACGCUCCGCGUUUGUCUGUUAUAUCUUGGUGGACGAGUCGUCGCGGUUGGGACUGAGGUGCCUACAACGUGCUUUUGAGUGGGUUUGUGUCUCCGUGUGCGCCGUGUGCGGAUAGCUUGCUAUGCGUGUGUGGUUGUGUGUGGAUGGAUGCGGGCCUUAACUUGUCGCCGUUC